This is a long non-coding RNA of Gambusia affinis (western mosquitofish), 806 nucleotides long. RefSeq lists it as uncharacterized. The record is from RefSeq and is a predicted model, not a curated record. NCBI's taxonomy places the organism in Eukaryota, Metazoa, Chordata, Actinopteri, Cyprinodontiformes, Poeciliidae. The transcript has 3 exons.
CAGGUCCGUUGAAUUUGCGCAGAAUUUGCAGUUGGCUAAGUGAGACGCAGCUGACUUGUCAUGCUCGUGCCUGUCGCUGCGUCUCCCUCCCGCGAGAGACCGAACGAGACCGUCCGGGACUUUUCGGCCCAACUUGGUCUCUAUGUCCGUCAGGUCCGGAGAGCCGCUGCGUUCCUCGUCCAUCGUCACUCUCCCAGAAAAACCGCACCACACCAGCAGACCUCUCAUUGAAGCCCGUAACCAGUAGGAGAACAGUUUAACACCAGCAUGCUCUCUGAGGACACUCCCAUUACAAGAAGGGCUGUCUCUGAAACCAGACACCCGCCAGCUGCAGCAGAUGGAACCUGUGCCAGGUGAGGAAUCCGGGGCCUUCGUGAGAGAAGUCCACCCCGCCAAAGCUGGCCUGCCCAGCGCCCAGGAACGUCUUGCUGACAGAGUAGUAAUGAGACCAGACGAAGUAGUUGUAGACCGUGAUGUCUUCAAACAGCGUGGUGUUCCCUUCAGGGCCGAAGAUGUCUGAGUAGUGGCGCGUUGCGAUCACCAGGUCAGGGUGCACUGUGCGCUUGGCCUGGUUCAGUGCGUUCACAAAGGCACGCUUCUCUUCAGAGCUGAGCUGCAUCACGUUUCUCCUCACUGUAGGGAAAUAAAAAAAGGUUGUUUUUAGUUGCGAGUUUAUUUUGUAAAGAGACUCAAACACGAUGCAUCCAUUAUGUAAAGCAGGAGUCUCUCUUUUAUAUUAACACAUUUUUGUGAUUAUUGUUAUUUUAUACACAGAUUAGAGUCAAAUAAAGGUGGUCUAAACUGUC